This 23-nucleotide non-coding RNA is filed under the name Rattus norvegicus (Norway rat). Lineage: Eukaryota; Metazoa; Chordata; Mammalia; Rodentia; Muridae. The record is from RNAcentral.
UAGGAGACUAAGUGCUGACUCGA